AACGCAUCUUGCACUCUUUGGUAUUCCGAAGAGUAUGUCUGUUUGAGUGUCAUGAAUUCUUCAACCCUCCCUUUUCUUAGUGAAUUGAGAGGUGUUUGGAUUCUGAGUGUUGCUCCUAACCCGAGCUCAUUCGUAAUGCAUUAGCAUCCAUAUUCGAAUUUCGGAUUGACUUGGCGUAAUAGACUAUUCGCUGAGGAAUCUAACUUCGGUUAGAGCCGUGUUUGAACUAGGAAGCUACUAAUCUAGCUUAGUCUACCUUAAGAUUAGAUCUCAAAUCAGGCAGGAUUACCCGCUGAACUUAA
Molecule: unclassified non-coding RNA, 302 nt
Filed under: uncultured Sporidiobolales
Lineage: Eukaryota; Fungi; Basidiomycota; Microbotryomycetes; Sporidiobolales
Description: sequence contains 5.8S rRNA gene, ITS2, 28S rRNA gene
Rfam family: 5.8S ribosomal RNA (bases 1-52)
Source: RNAcentral